GCGCAACCCUUGUCCUUAGUUACCAGCACGUUAUGGUGGGCACUCUAAGGAGACUGCCGGCGACAACCGGAGGAAGUGGGGAUGACGUCAAGUCAUCAUGGCCCUUACGGCCUGGGCUACACACGUGCUACAAUGGUCGGUACAAAGGGUUGCCAAGCCGCGAGGUGGAGCUAAUCCCAUAAAACCGAUCGUAGUCCGGAUCGCAGUCUGCAACUCGACUGCGUGAAGUCGGAAUCGCUAGUAAUCGUGAAUCAGAAUGUCACGGUGAAUACGUUCCCGGGCCUU
This 285-nucleotide ribosomal RNA is filed under the name uncultured Pseudomonas sp. RNAcentral describes it as "partial 16S ribosomal RNA". It matches the Rfam family "Bacterial small subunit ribosomal RNA", at positions 1096 to 1382 of the family's 1533-position model. Lineage: Bacteria; Pseudomonadati; Pseudomonadota; Gammaproteobacteria; Pseudomonadales; Pseudomonadaceae. The record is from RNAcentral.